ACUCACGGGCUGUAUCAGGAGAAGAUGAGACUUCCUGUGCAUCUGAACGCACACAUGCGGUGCAGCAAGGCUUCUGGUUGUUGGGCACAGGCACCAAGAUCUGAAAAGGCCACAGUCCCUCAGGUUCAUCACUCUGUCUGCUUCUGUGUUCAAUACCAAAAAUUUUAUUUUGGAUACAAAGAAAUAAGGCUUGAUGAGGACAAUUCACUUCACAAAGGAAGACUCACAAGUUUUAUCCAGAGAAAAGAAGAGUUCAUGAUCAUCGAGUUCAUCCUGGUGACAUAAAGAAUGCAGCUAAACCAAUUAGAAUCUACUGUAUAGUCCCAGGGGUGCUGUCAGAGGUGCAGAGAGGUGGUCCUAUAAGGUAAGGGACACAAAGCACUGUCUACAAAUAGAAAAUCAUUGUGCAGGAACCACCUGCAUGAGGGCAGGACACAGGAGGCAAUGCACAGUGCACUGGCUGGAAAAUGAGCUGAUGGAAAAGGAGUCUAAGACUGCUGCAUCAUUGAACCAUGACACCCAGGUCACA
This is a long non-coding RNA of Octodon degus (degu), 529 nucleotides long. RefSeq lists it as uncharacterized. The transcript is spliced from 3 exons. The record is from RefSeq and is a predicted model, not a curated record. Lineage: Eukaryota; Metazoa; Chordata; Mammalia; Rodentia; Octodontidae.